GACGAACGCUGGCGGCGUGCUUAACACAUGCAAGUCGAACGGGUCUGCCCUGUUUUUUGCGGGGUGGGUCAGUGGCGAACGGGUGAGUAACACGUGAGUAACCUGCCCCUCACUUCUGGAUAACCGCUUGAAAGGGUGGCUAAUACGGGGUGUUCUGGCUGUGCCGCAUGGUGUGGCUGGGAAAGAUUCACUUUUGUGGUGUUUUGGUGGGGGAUGGGCUCGCGGCCUAUCAGCUUGUUGGUGGGGUGAUGGCCUGCCAAGGCUUUGACGGGUAGCCGGCCUGAGAGGGUGGGCGGUCACACUGGGACUGAGAUACGGCCCAGACUCCUGCGGGAGGCAGCAGUGGGGGGUAUUGCACAAUGGGCGGAAGCCUGAUGCAGCGACAUCGCGUGAGGGAUGGAGGCCUUCGGGUUGUGAACCUCUUUCGCCGGUGAAGAAGGUCCUGCUCUUUGUGGUGGGGUUGACGGUAGCCGGGUUAUGAAGCGCCGGCUAACUACGUG
Molecule: ribosomal RNA, 500 nt
Filed under: uncultured bacterium
Lineage: Bacteria
Description: partial 16S ribosomal RNA
Rfam family: Bacterial small subunit ribosomal RNA
Source: RNAcentral